CAACUGUCUGGAGGAUGCCAGAGCUGUGCUGAGUGAGGUGGAGUUGCUGCAGGCCACCAUUGACCAGGUCUCUCUCAGGGAGGAAGAGCCUUCCAGGAGAGUGUCUGGUGAGAGAAAGACUGCAGCGUCCGGCUCACAGAGGAAGAGACAGAGAAAAAGGGAGGAAGAGGAAGACAGCGACUCCAGUGCAGAAUUUGAUCAGUGGGUUCAGUGUAGUAGGUCUGUCUGUGGGAAAUGGAGGAGAGUGGAGAGACACGUUGACCUGGCUGCCCUUCCCAGCGACUGGACCUGUAUACACGACACAGGCCCUGGUCUCUGUGAGGCUGCGGAGGACAGCUGGUCGGAACAAGAGUGUGAUGUCAUCAACAGCAGUCUGGUUCCUGGGUCUCUGGUCUGGGCUCAACAGAUUGGAUAUCCUUGGUACACUACGCACACAUACUGAACACAAUUUAAAUGUUUUCUUUGUUUAACUUGGCAAGUCAGU
Long non-coding RNA from Salvelinus sp. IW2-2015, 484 nucleotides. RefSeq lists it as uncharacterized. The record is from RefSeq and is a predicted model, not a curated record. Lineage: Eukaryota; Metazoa; Chordata; Actinopteri; Salmoniformes; Salmonidae.